UACGUAGGGAGCGAGUGUUGUCCGGAAUCACUGGUCGUAAAGGGCGCGUAGGCGGUUUUACAAGUUGCAUGUGAAAUACCAUGGAUCAACCAUGGGGUGUCAUGCAAAACUGUAGGGCUUGAGUGCAGUAGAGGAAAGCGGAAUUCCUGGUGUAGCGGUAAAAUGCGUAGAGAUCAGGAGGAACACCGGUGGCGAAGGCGGCUUUCUGGGCUGUAACUGACGCUGAGGCGCGAAAGCGUGGGGAGCGAACAGGAUUAGAUACCCUGGUAGUCCACGCGGUAAACGAUGAAUAUUAGGUGUAGGCCUUUAAGGUCUGUGCCGGAGCAAACGCAAUAAAUAUUCCGCCUGGGGAGUACGGCCGAAAGGUUGAAACUCAAAGGAAUUGACGGGACCCCGCACAAGCAGCGGAGCAUGUUGUUUAAUUCGAAGCAACGCGAAGAACCUUACCAGGGCUUGACAUCCUACAAAUCUGCCAGAGAUGGCGGAGUGCCCUUCGGGGAAUGUAGAGACAGGUGGUGCAUGGUUGUCGUCAGCUCGUGUCGUGAGAUGUUGGGUUAAGUCCCGCAACGAGCGCAACCCUUACAUUUAGUUGCCAGCACGUAAAGGUGGGAACUCUAAAUGGACAGCCGGGGUAAUCCGGAGGAAGGUGGGGACGACGUCAAAUCAUCAUGCUCCUUACGUCCUGGGCUACAAACGUGCUACAAUGCCCACAACAAAGGGAAGCAAGACCGUAAGGUGGAGCGAAACCGAGAAAAGUGGUCCCAGUUCGGAUUGAGGGCUGCAACCCGCCCUCAUGAAGUUGGAGUUGCUAGUAAUCGCGAGUCAGCAUAUCGCGGUGAAUACGUUCCCGGGGUU
RNAcentral lists this ribosomal RNA (855 nucleotides) under uncultured bacterium. RNAcentral describes it as "SSU rRNA". It matches the Rfam family "Bacterial small subunit ribosomal RNA", at positions 524 to 1381 of the family's 1533-position model. The record is from RNAcentral.